This 482-nucleotide ribosomal RNA is filed under the name uncultured bacterium. Its description in RNAcentral is "partial 16S ribosomal RNA". It matches the Rfam family "Bacterial small subunit ribosomal RNA", at positions 30 to 507 of the family's 1533-position model. The record is from RNAcentral.
AUUGAACGCUGGCGGCAUGCUUUACACAUGCAAGUCGAACGGUAACACGCCGCACGGUUCUGCCGAGUGGCGCACGGGUGAGUAAUGCAUCGGAACGUGCCCUGCCCUGGCGUAUACCUCCUGCAAACCGCAUCAAAUACCGCAUACGACCUAUUGUUCCCAGCGGGGGGCCGUAAGGCCUCGCGCGAUUUGUCGUGCCGGUGUCGGAUUAUGUGGUUGGUGGGGUACUGGUUGACCAAGACAACGCUCUGUAGCUGGUCUGAGAGGAGGACCAGCGACAAUAGGACGGAGACACGACCGAGACUACUACGGGAGGCAGCAGUGGGGAAUAUUGGAGAAUGGGCGCAAGCCUGAUCCAGCAAUGCCGCGUGGAGGAAGAAGGCCUUCGGGUUGUAAAGUGCUUUUGUACGGAACGAAACGGCGCUGGUUAAUACCCGGGGGUAAUGACGGUACCGUAAGAAUAAGCACCGGCUAACUACGUG